Long non-coding RNA from Phacochoerus africanus (Common warthog), 380 nucleotides. RefSeq lists it as uncharacterized. Lineage: Eukaryota; Metazoa; Chordata; Mammalia; Artiodactyla; Suidae. The transcript is spliced from 3 exons. The record is from RefSeq and is a predicted model, not a curated record.
UCGGGACAUUGGUCUGAGUUACUGAGAAACGCAGGACCCACUCCCGGCCUAAGCGCCAGUUUUGUCUCCAACCACCUGCCUUUGAAGCCAGGAGGCCUGAAUUCCAGCAUCCUUCACCAAGCGAGGUGUGGGCGUGUGCGGUGGCCCACGACCCAGAACAACAGACGCAGAGAGAACUGUUUUCCUCCUCAAAGUCCAGCCUCCAGGCGCUUCCCAGCCUUCCUCCAGUUUGCAUGAAGGACAGAAGUGGAACGGCUUUGGUGGCGGCAAAGGCAAAAGCCGAAUUCUCUCCAUCCUCUCACCAAACGUCAGGUGUCUGCCCCAUUGCGCCUCUUAGCUGCCUAAAGAGGCCACACCAGCAUACAGAAAUUCCUGGGCCA